This 734-nucleotide ribosomal RNA is filed under the name uncultured bacterium. RNAcentral describes it as "bacterial SSU rRNA". It matches the Rfam family "Bacterial small subunit ribosomal RNA", at positions 59 to 795 of the family's 1533-position model. The record is from RNAcentral.
CAGUCGAACGGGUGUACGGGGAGGAAGGCUUCGGCCGGAAAACCUGCGCAUGAGUGGCGGACGGGUGAGUAACGCGUGGGCAACCUGGCCUGUACAGGGGGAUAACACUUAGAAAUAGGUGCUAAUACCGCAUAACGGGGGAAGCCGCAUGGCUUUUCCCUGAAAACUCCGGUGGUACAGGAUGGGCCCGCGUCUGAUUAGCCAGUUGGCAGGGUAACGGCCUACCAAAGCGACGAUCAGUAGCCGGCCUGAGAGGGCGGACGGCCACACUGGGACUGAGACACGGCCCAGACUCCUACGGGAGGCAGCAGUGGGGGAUAUUGCACAAUGGGGGGAACCCUGAUGCAGCGACGCCGCGUGGGUGAAGAAGCGCCUCGGCGCGUAAAGCCCUGUCAGCAGGGAAGAAAAUGACGGUACCUGAAGAAGAAGCCCCGGCUAACUACGUGCCAGCAGCCGCGGUAAUACGUAGGGGGCAAGCGUUAUCCGGAUUUACUGGGUGUAAAGGGGGCGCAGACGGCGAUGCAAGCCAGGAGUGAAAGCCCGGGGCCCAACCCCGGGACUGCUCUUGGAACUGCGUGGCUGGAGUGCAGGAGGGGCAGGCGGAAUUCCUGGUGUAGCGGUGAAAUGCGUAGAUAUCAGGAGGAACACCGGUGGCGAAGGCGGCCUGCUGGACUGCAACUGACGUUGAGGCCCGAAAGCGUGNGGAGCAAACAGGAUUAGAUACCCUNGUAGUC